CCCCUCUCAGGGUCACAUCUGGAGAGUUUCCAGUAUUCUACCACUUGUGACUGCAGGAGGGAGAGUCAGGCAGAGACAUAUCCAUUCCAUUCCAAGCUUGGGCAGUGGCUAGUGAGUGGAAGGCAAUCUGCCGCAAGU
Tachyglossus aculeatus (Australian echidna) is the source of this 138-nucleotide small nucleolar RNA. The record is from RefSeq and is a predicted model, not a curated record. Lineage: Eukaryota; Metazoa; Chordata; Mammalia; Monotremata; Tachyglossidae.